Molecule: ribosomal RNA, 1895 nt
Filed under: human gut metagenome
Description: bacterial LSU rRNA
Rfam family: Bacterial large subunit ribosomal RNA
Source: RNAcentral
UCAAGCGAACAAGGGCGCAGGGCGAAUGCCUUGGCACUGGGAGCCGAUGAAAGACGUGAUAAGCUGCGAUAAGCUUCGGGGAGCUGCAAAUAAGCAUUGAUCCGGAGAUCUCUGAAUGAGGAAACUCACUUGGGUUCAUACUCAAGUACGUUGUACUGAACUUCAAAAUAGGUACAUCGAGGGAACCGCCUGAACUGAAACAUCUAAGUAGGGCGAGGAAGAGACAUCAAACGAGAUUCCGUAAGUAGUGGCGAGCGAACGCGGAAGAGGGCAAACCGGGAGUCGAAAGACUUCCGGGGUACGGAGCGCAUUUAAGACUUAAGUUGUUAACCGAACGGCAUGGGAAGGCCGGUCAGAGAGUGUGAGAACCACGUAGGUGAAAACGACGAGAGCUGAGCGAUUUCCAGAGUACGGCCGGACACGUGAAACCCGGUCGGAAUACGGGGGGACCACCCUCCAACCCUAAAUACUACCCAGUGACCGAUAGCGUAUAGUACUGUGAAGGAAAGGUGAAAAGCACCCCGGGAGGGGAGUGAAAAAGAACCUGAAACCCUGUGCCUACAAGCACCUAGAGCACGUCAAUGUGUGAUAGGGUACUUUUUGUAGAACGGUCCGGCGAGCGAUUGUAUGCAGCAAGGUUAAGGACUUAAGGUCUGGAGCCGAAGCGAAAGCGAGUUUGAAAAGGGCGUUAAGUUGCAUAUAAUGGGCCCGAAACCGGGUGACCUACCCAUGGUCAGGUUGAAGUGGAAGUAAAAUUCCAUGGAGGACCGAACCGACCUCCGUUGAAAAGGCGGCGGAUGAACUGUGGGUAGCGGAGAAAUUCCAAUCGAACCCGGAGAUAGCUGGUUCUCCCCGAAAUAGUUUUAGGACUAGCCUCAAGUUAGAUAUCUGGAGGUAAAGCACUGAAUAGCCUAGCGGCCGAGAGGUUAGCGAAGCUUAUCAAACUCAGAAUGCCAGAAUAUUGAUGCUUGGGAGUCAGACAGUGUCAGAUAAAUGUCAUUGUCAAAAGGGAAACAGCCCAGAUCUACAGCUAAGGUCCCAAAGUCAGGUUAAGUGGAAAACGAUGUGAAGAUACGCAGACAACCAGGAUGUUGGCUCAGAAGCAGCCACUCAUUCAAAGAGUGCGUAAUAGCUCACUGGUCGAGCGUCUUUGCGCGGAGAAUUUAACGGGGCUAAACCUGACACCGAAGCUUAGGCAAUACAGUAAUGUAUUGGGUAGGGGAGCGUUGUAUACGCGGUGAAACAGUAGCGCAAGCGGCUGUGGAGUGUAUAGAAGUGAGAAUGCCGGAAUGAGUAGCGCGAAUGCAGUGAGAAUCUGCAUGGCCGAAAGCCUCAGGUUUUUGGAGGAAGGUUCGUCCGCUCCAAGUUAGUCGGGAGCUAAGGUGAGGCCGAGAGGCGUAGCCGAUGCACAGACGGUAGAGAUUCCGUCACCACCAAAAGAGUUAAGCACAGGGACACAUUUGAAGUCUCAGAGCCGGGUGUUGGUUCCGGUAGAGAUCGAGGGAAGUUAGUACCGAAGUCUGGGAUGGAAGAUGGCGAGAAAAGCUGUGUGGAUUUCUGAGGUGCCCGUACCGCAAACCGACACAGGUAGGUAGGAAGAAGAUUCUAAGGCCAACGGGAGAAGGGUUGUUAAGGAACUCGGCAAAUUGACCCCGUAACUUCGGGAGAAGGGGUGCUCCAGAGAUGGAGCCGCAGAGAAUCGGCCCAAGCAACUGUUUACCAAAAACACAGGUUUGUGCUAAAUCGAAAGAUGACGUAUACGAGCUGACGCCUGCCCGGUGCUGGAAGGUUAAGAGGAGAUGUGCAAGCAUUGAAUCGAAGCCCCAGUGAACGGCGGCCGUAACUAUAACGGUCCUAAGGUAGCGAAAUUCCUUGUCAGGUAAGUUCUGACCCGC